AGAGACAAUAGUCAUACGCUUUAUAACAUUACAUUAAAAAUAAUAAUAACACACCAUCACGUUAUCAGAGACAUGCAGUGCUGAGAAAAAUCAUUAGUGUAACUUCCAUAACAUGUAGAACGACAGAAGCGAUAUUACGAGGUUCGCUUGGAGACGAGUUAUAUUCUAGGGGGUUUCCAUUCAUAUUCUAGGGGUCGGCAGCACGGUUCAGAAGAGGGAGGCGUAGGCACUGCCAGCGGCUUUAAACAAACGAAACAACGGCAGCGUGUAGAAAACCGAGCCCAAGCAAUUCAUUUUAAUAUAAAACUGAAUAGGAGUUUCGGAGACGCAACCUGUGAAACUGUAUUCUACCCGGAGACUGCUGAUGAUACGCGUCCUAUUGGCUGAGAGACGCCAGGGCAGCCAAUCACAAUAUUCUGACCGAGGCAAUCUUCUUAUAAUGAGACCGGACUGUGCAGAACUGUCCAGUGUAGUUCCAGCGUGUGGGAGUUACAGAUAGAUCUGGGAUAUCUAGUUAUUAUCCGCGGAAAUCCAGUUUAUUUUGUAUUGUUUUGAUCUGUGAAGACUGCAGAGAUGUUGAGGGCGCUUG
Long non-coding RNA from Polyodon spathula (Mississippi paddlefish), 589 nucleotides. RefSeq lists it as uncharacterized. NCBI's taxonomy places the organism in Eukaryota, Metazoa, Chordata, Actinopteri, Acipenseriformes, Polyodontidae. The transcript is spliced from 2 exons. The record is from RefSeq and is a predicted model, not a curated record.